GGAAGUAGAAGUCGUAACAAGGUUUCCGUAGGUGAACCUGCGGAAGGAUCAUUAAAGAGAAUAUGCCCUUCGGGGUAGAUCUCCCACCCUUUGUUUAUAUUACCUUUGUUGCUUUGGCAGGCCCGUCUUCGGACCACCGGCUUCGGCUGGUCAGUGCUUGCCAGAGGACCCAAAACUCUUAUUAUUAAUGUCGUCUGAGUACUAUAUAAUAGUUAAAACUUUCAACAACGGAUCUCUUGGUUCUG
RNAcentral lists this unclassified non-coding RNA (245 nucleotides) under plant metagenome. RNAcentral's name for it is "partial contains small subunit ribosomal RNA, internal transcribed spacer 1, and 5.8S ribosomal RNA". The stretch from base 1 to 54 matches the Rfam family "Eukaryotic small subunit ribosomal RNA", at positions 1778 to 1831 of the family's 1831-position model. The record is from RNAcentral.